UGAGGAAUAUUGGUCAAUGGACGGAAGUCUGAACCAGCCAUGCCGCGUGCAGGAAGACGGCUCUAUGAGUUGUAAACUGCUUUUGUACAAGGGUAAACCUGAAUACGUGUAUUCAGCUGAAAGUACUGUACGAAUAAGGAUCGGCUAACUCCGUGCCAGCAGCCGCGGUAAUACGGAGGAUCCAAGCGUUAUCCGGAUUUAUUGGGUUUAAAGGGUGCGUAGGCGGAUUGAUAAGUUAGAGGUGAAAUGUCCGAGCUUAACUCGGGAACUGCCUCUAAUACUGUUGAUCUAGAGAGUAGAUGCGGUAGGCGGAAUGUAUGGUGUAGCGGUGAAAUGCUUAGAGAUCAUACAGAACACCGAUUGCGAAGGCAGCUUACCAAUCUAUAUCUGACGUUGAGGCACGAAAGCGUGGGGAGCAAACAGG
Molecule: ribosomal RNA, 424 nt
Filed under: uncultured bacterium
Lineage: Bacteria
Description: bacterial SSU rRNA
Rfam family: Bacterial small subunit ribosomal RNA
Source: RNAcentral